RNAcentral lists this ribosomal RNA (429 nucleotides) under uncultured bacterium. RNAcentral's name for it is "bacterial SSU rRNA". It matches the Rfam family "Bacterial small subunit ribosomal RNA", at positions 355 to 796 of the family's 1533-position model. The record is from RNAcentral.
UGGGGAAUAUUGCGCAAUGGGCGAAAGCCUGACGCAGCGACGCCGCGUGAGGGAUGAAGGCCUUCGGGUUGUAAACCUCUUUCAGCAGGGACGAAGCGUGAGUGACGGUACCUGCAGAAGAAGCGCCGGCUAACUACGUGCCAGCAGCCGCGGUAAUACGUAGGGCGCAAGCGUUGUCCGGAAUUAUUGGGCGUAAAGAGCUCGUAGGCGGUUUGUCGCGUCUGUCGUGAAAGCCCAGGGCUUAACCCUGGGUCUGCGGUGGAUACGGGCAGACUAGAGGCAGGUAGGGGAGAACGGAAUUCCCGGUGUAGCGGUGAAAUGCGCAGAUAUCGGGAGGAACACCGGUGGCGAAGGCGGUUCUCUGGGCCUGUACUGACGCUGAGGAGCGAAAGCGUGGGGAGCGAACAGGAUUAGAUACCCCUGUAGUCC